Molecule: ribosomal RNA, 264 nt
Filed under: uncultured archaeon
Lineage: Archaea
Description: partial 16S ribosomal RNA
Rfam family: Archaeal small subunit ribosomal RNA
Source: RNAcentral
ACACGACUACAUUAGAUACCCCUGUAGUCCUGGCCGUAAACGAUGUGGACUUGGUGUUGGGAUGGCUCCGAGCUGCCCCAGUGCCGAAGGGAAGCUGUUAAGUCCACCGCCUGGGAAGUACGGUCGCAAGACUGAAACUUAAAGGAAUUGGCGGGGAGCACCACAACGGGUGGAGCCUGCGGUUUAAUUGGACUCAACGCCGGGAAGCUCACCGGAUAAGACAGCGGAAUGAUUGCCGGGCUGAAGACUCUGCAUGACUAGCUG